GUGUCAGCAGCCGCGGUAAGACGAAGGUGGCUAGCGUUGCUCGGAAUUACUGGGCAUAAAGCGCGCGUAGGUGGUCCUGUAAGCGGGGGAUGAAAGCCCAUGGCUCACCCAUGGAACUGUCCUUCGGACUGCAGGGCUGGAGGGCGGGAGGGGAGAAUGGAAUUCCCGGUGUAGCGGUGAAAUGCGUAGAUAUCGGGAGGAACGCCGGUGGCGAAAGCGAUUCUCUGGCCCGUUCCUGACACUGAUGCGCGAGAGCUAGGGGAGCAAACAGGAUUAGAUACCCCUGUAGUCC
RNAcentral lists this ribosomal RNA (292 nucleotides) under uncultured bacterium. RNAcentral's name for it is "partial 16S ribosomal RNA". It matches the Rfam family "Bacterial small subunit ribosomal RNA", at positions 505 to 796 of the family's 1533-position model. The record is from RNAcentral.